GAUGAAGAACGUAGUGAAAUGCGAUAAGUAAUGUGAAUUGCAGAAUUCAGUGAAUCAUCGAAUCUUUGAACGCAUCUUGCGCUCCUUGGUAUUCUGAGGAGCAUGCCUGUUCGAGAGUCAUUAACAACCGUUUCGAUCCCUUUCUUUCAGAAAUUACAAAGAGGAAAAGGGUUUGGUUAUGGUGGAGGAGGGAAAGGGAGCGUUUAGCCUGUAAAAAAAGAGGCUGUGUUCCGCCUCCCCCCCAAAAUUGUACAGGCGGUCGUGUGCGCCCACGCAUCGAGGUGUUGUAAAAGCUGCCACGGCACUUUUCACCUGUGCAGUGCGAGAUUGGCCAGCCGGUUUAAAAACCCCUCCAAACAAUCAAAGGUUGACCUCGGAUCAGGUAGGGAUACCCGCUGAACUUAAGCAUAUCAAUAAGCGGAGGA
Molecule: unclassified non-coding RNA, 425 nt
Filed under: soil metagenome
Description: partial contains 5.8S ribosomal RNA, internal transcribed spacer 2, and large subunit ribosomal RNA
Rfam family: 5.8S ribosomal RNA (bases 1-120)
Source: RNAcentral